UACGUAGGGGGCUAGCGUUGCUCGGAAUCACUGGGCGUAAAGGGUGCGUAGGCGGGUCUUUAAGUCAGGGGUGAAAUCCUGGAGCUCAACUCCAGAACUGCCUUUGAUACUGGCGACCUUGAGUCCGGGAGAGGUGAGUGGAACUGCGAGUGUAGAGGUGAAAUUCGUAGAUAUUCGCAAGAACACCAGUGGCGAAGGCGGCUCACUGGCCCGGUACUGACGCUGAGGUGCGAAAGCGUGGGGAGCAAACAGG
Molecule: ribosomal RNA, 253 nt
Filed under: uncultured bacterium
Lineage: Bacteria
Description: partial 16S ribosomal RNA
Rfam family: Bacterial small subunit ribosomal RNA
Source: RNAcentral